RNAcentral lists this ribosomal RNA (449 nucleotides) under uncultured bacterium. RNAcentral's name for it is "partial 16S ribosomal RNA". It matches the Rfam family "Bacterial small subunit ribosomal RNA", at positions 29 to 523 of the family's 1533-position model. The record is from RNAcentral.
AACGAACGCUGGCGGCAUGCCUAACACAUGCAAGUCGAACGAAGCCUUCGGGCUUAGUGGCGCACGGGUGCGUAACGCGUGGGAAUCUGCCCUUGGGUUCGGAAUAACAGUUAGAAAUGACUGCUAAUACCGGAUGAUGUCUUCGGACCAAAGAUUUAUCGCCCAAGGAUGAGCCCGCGUAGGAUUAGGUAGUUGGUGGGGUAAGGGCCCACCCAGCCGACGAUCCUUAGCUGGUCUGAGAGGAUGAUCAGCCACACUGGGACUGAGACACGGCCCAGACUCCUACGGGAGGCAGCAGUGGGGAAUAUUGGACAAUGGGCGAAAGCCUGAUCCAGCAAUGCCGCGUGAGUGAUGAAGGCCUUAGGGUUGUAAAGCUCUUUUACCAGGGAUGAUAAUGACAGUACCUGGAGAAUAAGCUCCGGCUAACUCCGUGCCAGCAGCCGCCGUAA